RNAcentral lists this long non-coding RNA (314 nucleotides) under Populus tremula. Its description in RNAcentral is "long non-coding RNA (PTRE_LNC000278)". Lineage: Eukaryota; Viridiplantae; Streptophyta; Magnoliopsida; Malpighiales; Salicaceae. The record is from RNAcentral.
UAAAUCGCAGCCUUACUCCAUAAUACAAUUAGAAACAAGGACUGGAUUAGAGUGCCAAACCGAUAAAUAUUACAAUGGAAACCUUACUAUCUCCCUCUCCAUGGAAUAAUAAUAAAAAUACAAAGAGAAACAGUUGCAUCUCCAUUUAUUCAUUCGAAAAUUAAACAUUUUUCUCUCAUGAUUUUCAUUGCAAUGUACAUAUUAUGAGAGUGAAACACUGACAACCUCAACAUGGAGCACCCAUUAACAUUGUAUAUACAUGCAAAAAAACACCAGCAGUACAAGUACACACUACCAUUAGCUCUCCCCCCCCC